Molecule: ribosomal RNA, 465 nt
Filed under: uncultured bacterium
Lineage: Bacteria
Description: bacterial SSU rRNA
Rfam family: Bacterial small subunit ribosomal RNA
Source: RNAcentral
GUAACGGAAGUAGCUUGCUACUAGACGACGACCGGCGCACGGGUGAGUAACGCGUAUGUAAUCUGCCUUGUACAGAGGGAUAGCCCAGAGAAAUUUGGAUUAAUACCUCAUAGUAUUACUGAAUCGCAUGAUUUGGUAAUUAAAGCUCCGGCGGUACAAGAUGAACAUGCGUGACAUUAGCUAGUUGGUAAGGUAACGGCUUACCAAGGCCACGAUGUCUAGGGGUUCUGAGAGGAUGAUCCCCCACACUGGUACUGAGACACGGACCAGACUCCUACGGGAGGCAGCAGUGAGGAAUAUUGGUCAAUGGACGCAAGUCUGAACCAGCCAUCCCGCGUGAAGGAUGACUGCCCUAUGGGUUGUAAACUUCUUUUAUAUGCAAAUAAACCUACUUUCGUGAAAGUAGCUGAAGGUAGCAUAUGAAUAAACACCGGCUAACUCCGUGCCAGCAGCCGCGGUAAUACG